This 429-nucleotide ribosomal RNA is filed under the name uncultured Holophagaceae bacterium. Its description in RNAcentral is "bacterial SSU rRNA". It matches the Rfam family "Bacterial small subunit ribosomal RNA", at positions 355 to 776 of the family's 1533-position model. Lineage: Bacteria; Pseudomonadati; Acidobacteriota; Holophagae; Holophagales; Holophagaceae. The record is from RNAcentral.
UGGGGAAUUUUGCGCAAUGGGCGAAAGCCUGACGCAGCAACGCCGCGUGGGUGAUGAAGGUCUUCGGAUUGUAAAACCCUGUCGUCAGGGACGAAGGUGCACAUGUUAAUAGCGUGUGUGCUUGACGGUACCUGGAGAGGAAGCCCCGGCUAACUCUGUGCCAGCAGCCGCGGUAAUACAGAGGGGGCAAGCGUUAUUCGGAAUUAUUGGGCGUAAAGGGCGCGUAGGCGGUUUUUUAAGUCAGAUGUGUAAUCCCCGAGCUUAACUUGGGAACUGCAUCUGAGACUGGAAGGCUAGAGUACUGGAGAGGGUGGUGGAAUUCCUCGUGUAGCGGUGAAAUGCGUAGAGAUGAGGAGGAACACCAGUGGCGAAGGCGGCCACCUGGACAGUAACUGACGCUGAGGCGCGAAAGUGUGGGUAGCAAACAGG